GCGCAGCAGUCGCGAAAACUCUGCAAUACGCGAAAGCGCGACAGGGCUACCCCGAGUGUCGUCCGCUGAGGACGACUUUUCCACGCUGUAAGGAGGCGUGGGAAUAAGGAGAGGGCAAGUCUGGUGUCAGCCGCCGCGGUAAUACCAGCUCUCCGAGUGGUCGGGACGUUUAUUGGGCUUAAAGCGUCCGUAGGCGGCUCAACAAGUCUCCCGUUAAAUCCAACGAUUCAAGCGUUGGACUGCGGGAGAUACUGCUGGGCGAGGAGGCGAGAGAGGCCGACGGUAUUCCCGGAGUAGGGGUGAAAUCUUAUAAUUCCGGGAGGAGCACCAGUGGCGAAGGCUGUCGGCUAGAACGCGCUCGACGGUGAGGGACGAAAGCUGGGGGAGCGAACCGGAUUAGAUACCCGGGUAGUCC
RNAcentral lists this ribosomal RNA (415 nucleotides) under uncultured crenarchaeote. RNAcentral's name for it is "partial 16S ribosomal RNA". It matches the Rfam family "Archaeal small subunit ribosomal RNA", at positions 330 to 747 of the family's 1478-position model. The record is from RNAcentral. Lineage: Archaea; Thermoproteati; Thermoproteota.